CACGGCCCAGACUCCUACGGGAGGCAGCAGUGGGGAAUUUUCCGCAAUGGGCGCAAGCCUGACGGAGCAACGCCGCGUGUGGGAUGAAGGCCUGUGGGUUGUAAACCACUUUUCUCAGGGACGAACACAAUGACGGUACCUGAGGAAUCAGCCUCGGCUAACUCUGUGCCAGCAGCCGCGGUAAGACAGAGGAGGCAAGCGUUAUCCGGAAUUAUUGGGCGUAAAGCGUCCGUAGGUGGUCUAGCAAGUCUGGGGUUAAAGCCCGGAGCCCAACUCCGGAUCGGCCUUGGAAACUGCCAGACUCGAGUAAGGUAGGGGUUGCGGGAAUUCCCGGUGUAGCGAUGAAAUGCGUAGAUAUCGGGAAGAACAUCAGCGGCGAAAGCGCGCAACUGGGCCAUUACUGACACUGAGGGACGAAAGCUAGGGGAGCGAAUGGGAUUAGAUACCCCCAGUAGUCCUAGCCGUAAACGAUGGUGACUAGAUGUGGCUCGUAUUGACCCGAGCCGUGUCGUAGCUAACGCGAUAAGUCACCCGCCUGGGGAGUACGCACGCAAGUGUGAAACUCAAAGGAAUUGACGGGGGCCCGCACAAGCGGUGGAGCAUGUGGAUUAAUUCGAUGCAACGCGAAGAACCUUACCAGGGCUUGACAUCCUGCGAACCCCGCUGAAAGGUGGGGGUGCCUUCGGGAGCGCAGAGACAGGUGGUGCAUGGCUGUCGUCAGCUCGUGUCGUGAGAUGUUGGGUUAAGUCCCGCAACGAGCGCAACCCGCGUCCUUAGUUGCCAGCAUUUAGUUGGGCACUCUGGGGAGACUGCCGGUGACAAGCCGGAGGAAGGUGCGGAUGACGUCAAGUCAGCAUGCCCCUUACCGCCCUGGGCGUCACACGUGCUACAAUGGCCAGCACAAAGGGUAGCCAGCC
Molecule: ribosomal RNA, 917 nt
Filed under: uncultured Cyanophyceae cyanobacterium
Lineage: Bacteria; Bacillati; Cyanobacteriota; Cyanophyceae
Description: bacterial SSU rRNA
Rfam family: Bacterial small subunit ribosomal RNA
Source: RNAcentral